UACGUAGGUCCCGAGCGUUGUCCGGAUUUAUUGGGUUUAAAGGGUGCGCAGGCGGCGUGUCAAGUCAGCGGUAAAAUGUCAGGGCUCAACCCCGGCCGGCCGUUGAAACUGGCGUGCUCGAGUUGGAGAGAAGUAUGCGGAAUUCGUGGUGUAGCGGUGAAAUGCAUAGAUAUCACGAAGAACCCCGAUUGCGAAGGCAGCAUACCGGCUCCACACUGACGCUGAGGCACGAAAGCGUGGGUAUCGAACAGG
RNAcentral lists this ribosomal RNA (252 nucleotides) under uncultured bacterium. RNAcentral's name for it is "partial 16S ribosomal RNA". It matches the Rfam family "Bacterial small subunit ribosomal RNA", at positions 524 to 776 of the family's 1533-position model. The record is from RNAcentral.